This 400-nucleotide ribosomal RNA is filed under the name uncultured bacterium. Its description in RNAcentral is "bacterial SSU rRNA". It matches the Rfam family "Bacterial small subunit ribosomal RNA", at positions 28 to 428 of the family's 1533-position model. The record is from RNAcentral.
GACGAACGCUGGCGGCGUGCUUAACACAUGCAAGUCGAGCGGUAAGGCCCUUUCGGGGGUACGACGAGCGGCGAACGGGUGAGUAACACGUGGGUGACCUGCCCUCAGCUCUGGGAUAAGCCUGGGAAACUGGGUCUAAUACCGGAUAUGACCCCACUGACGCAUGUCGUGGGGUGGAAAGCCUUGUGCGGCUGAGGAUGGGCCCGCGGCCUAUCAGCUUGUUGGUGGGGUGAUGGCCUACCAAGGCGACGACGGGUAGCCGGCCUGAGAGGGCGACCGGCCACACUGGGACUGAGACACGGCCCAGACUCCUACGGGAGGCAGCAGGUGGGGAAUCUUGCGCAAUGGGCGAAAGCCUGACGCAGCGACGCCGCGUGAGGGAUGACGGCCUCGGUUGUAA